AAUAUUGGACAAUGGGGGCAACCCUUAUCCAGCCAUGCCGCGGGUGUGAAGAAGGUCUNUGGAUUNUNAAGCACGUUAAGUUGGGNGGAAGGGCUUUAGGCUAAUACCCUGAAGUUUUGACGUUACCAACAGAAUCAGCACCGGCUAACUCUGUUCCAGCAGCCGCGGUAAUACGGAGGGUGCAAGCGUUAAUCGGAAUUACUGGGCGUAAAGCGGGGGUAGGUGGUUCAGUAAGAUGGGUGUGAAAUCCCCGGGCUUAACCUGGGAACUGCUUUCAUAACUGCUGAGCUAGAGUACGGUAGAGGGUAGUGGAAUUUCCUGUGUAGCGGUGAAAUGCGUAGAUAUAGGAAGGAACACCAGUGGCGAAGGCGACUACCUGGACUGAUACUGACACUGAGGUGCGAAAGCGUGGGGAGCAAAC
RNAcentral lists this ribosomal RNA (421 nucleotides) under uncultured bacterium. RNAcentral describes it as "partial 16S ribosomal RNA". It matches the Rfam family "Bacterial small subunit ribosomal RNA", at positions 360 to 773 of the family's 1533-position model. The record is from RNAcentral.